Long non-coding RNA from Spodoptera frugiperda (fall armyworm), 177 nucleotides. RefSeq lists it as uncharacterized. The record is from RefSeq and is a predicted model, not a curated record. NCBI's taxonomy places the organism in Eukaryota, Metazoa, Arthropoda, Insecta, Lepidoptera, Noctuidae. The transcript has 2 exons.
CACCUCUCAAUAAGUUAAAAUAUCACUCCGUGGUAUUUUUGUAAACCCAAUCAGACUAAAUCCGUCAAGUUGAUGUGCAUGUUUCGUUCUCACUCUCGCCCAUAGUCUUAAAACUGGUAUUAUGUUGCGCUCGCGCAGGUAGCUAGCUUAUCUUACUACAUCGCAGUCCUUCGUCAU